This 449-nucleotide ribosomal RNA is filed under the name SAR202 cluster bacterium. RNAcentral's name for it is "bacterial SSU rRNA". It matches the Rfam family "Bacterial small subunit ribosomal RNA", at positions 1 to 449 of the family's 1533-position model. The record is from RNAcentral. Lineage: Bacteria; Bacillati; Chloroflexota; Dehalococcoidia.
UUUACAUAGAGUUUGAUCCUGGCUCAGGACGAACGCUGGCGGUGCGCCUAAUGCAUGCAAGUCGAACGGGCGAAGGGGCUUCGGCCCCCUAGCUAGUGGCAGACGGCUGAGUAACACGUAAGUGACCUACCCCGAAGCGGGGGAUAAACUCGAGAAAUCGGGUCUAAUACCCCGUAAGUUCUUCGCACUUCGAUGCGAAGUAGAAAGGUUUCGACCGCUUUGGGAGGGGCUUGCGGCCUAUCAGGUAGUUGGUGGGGUAAUGGCCUACCAAGCCUCAGACGGGUAACCGGUGUGAGAGCACGAUCGGUCAGAGGGGGACUGAGACACGGCCCCCACUCCUACGGGAGGCAGCAGCAGGGAAUCUUGCGCAAUGGGCGAAAGCCUGACGCAGCGACACCGCGUGGGGGAAGAAUGCUUUCGAGUUGUAAACCCCUUUUCCCGGGGAAGAG